This 465-nucleotide ribosomal RNA is filed under the name uncultured bacterium. Its description in RNAcentral is "partial 16S ribosomal RNA". It matches the Rfam family "Bacterial small subunit ribosomal RNA", at positions 28 to 507 of the family's 1533-position model. The record is from RNAcentral.
GACGAACGCUGGCGGCGUGCUUAACACAUGCAAGUCGAACGGAAAGGCCCUGCUUGCAGGGUACUCGAGUGGCGAACGGGUGAGUAACACGUGGGUGAUCUGCCCUGCACUUCGGGAUAAGCCUGGGAAACUGGGUCUAAUACCGGAUAGGAGCCAUUUUUAGUGUGAUGGUUGGAAAGUUUUUUCGGUGUAGGAUGAGCUCGCGGCCUAUCAGCUUGUUGGUGGGGUAAUGGCCUACCAAGGCGGCGACGGGUAGCCGGCCUGAGAGGGUGGACGGCCACAUUGGGACUGAGAUACGGCCCAGACUCCUACGGGAGGCAGCAGUGGGGAAUAUUGCACAAUGCGCGCAAGCCUGAUGCAGCGACGCCGCGUGGGGGAUGACGGCCUUCGGGUUGUAAACUCCUUUCGCUAGGGACGAAGCUUUUUGUGACGGUACCUAGAGAAGAAGCACCGGCUAACUACGUG